This 446-nucleotide ribosomal RNA is filed under the name uncultured bacterium. Its description in RNAcentral is "partial 16S ribosomal RNA". It matches the Rfam family "Bacterial small subunit ribosomal RNA", at positions 338 to 795 of the family's 1533-position model. The record is from RNAcentral.
CCUACGGGUGGCAGCAGUCGAGAAUCAUUCACAAUGGGGGAAACCCUGAUGGUGCGACGCCGCGUGGGGGAAUGAAGGUCUUCGGAUUGUAAACCCCUGUCAUGUGGGAGCAAAUUAAAAAGAUAGUACCACAAGAGGAAGAGACGGCUAACUCUGUUCCAGCAGCCGCGGUAAUACAGAGGUCUCAAGCGUUGUUCGGAAUCACUGGGCGUAAGGCGUGCGUAGGCUGUUUCGUAAGUCGUGUGUGAAAGGCGCGGGCUCAACCCGCGGACGGCACAUGAUACUGCGAGACUAGAGUAAUGGAGGAGGAACCGGAAUUCUCGGUGUAGCAGUGAAAUGCGUAGAUAUCGAGAGGAACACUCGUGGCGAAGGCGGGUUCCUGGACAUUAACUGACGCUGAGGCACGAAGGCCAGGGGAGCGAAAGGGAUUAGAUACCCGUGUAGUC